Molecule: ribosomal RNA, 431 nt
Filed under: bacterium EcwBS1
Lineage: Bacteria
Description: partial 16S ribosomal RNA
Rfam family: Bacterial small subunit ribosomal RNA
Source: RNAcentral
CCCCCCCACAUAGGGUCAGCGUAUCCGGAAUUUAGGGCGUAAGGGCGCGUAGGCGGCUUUUUUUGUCAAUGUGAAAUNCCCUCNGCUUAACCGAUGGAUUGCNAUUCGAUACUGAAAGACUUGCAGUAUGGGAGAGGGAANCUAGAAUUCCUGGUGUAGCGGUGAAAUGCGUAGAUAUCAGGAGGAACUACCGGAUGGCGAAGGCGAGCGUUCACUGGNCCAAUUACUGACGCUGAGUGCGACGAAGAGGCGGUGGGGAGCAAAACAGGAAUUAGAAUACCCCUUGGGUNAGUCCACGCCCAGGUUAAAACUGAUGGAGACUACUAAGACAGUAUGCGGGGNUAUUGANCCCCNCGAUGAUNCCGCAAAUCUUUACCGGCAUUAAGUGUAUCCCGCUGGGGGAAAUUACGGGCCGAGGAUUAAACUCAACA